GGCUGGCUUUCCUAUCAGGGCAGCUCACAUGCAUCCAAAUCCCAGAUUAAACACCCCCCAUCUCUCUUUCCAACCAGCAGCACUCCUACAAGUCCCUGCCCCCUCUCUUCCUCCUUGUGUAACUGUACUGAGCGUGGAUUACCAAACUCUGAAGCAAAGCAGGGGCUCUGACAGCCUCCGAACAGAAUGGUGGUUUCAUCCCAACAUCACUGGGAUCGAGGCAGAACACCUGCUCCUGACACGGGGCGUCCAUGGCAGCUUUCUAGCGAGACCCAGCAAGAGCAAUCCAGGAGACUUCACUCUCUCUGUCAGGAGGAACGAUGAGGUCACCCAUAUUAAAAUCCAGAACUCAGGGGACUAUUAUGACCUGUACGGAGGGGAGAAGUUCGCCACGCUGGCUGAAUUGGUCCAGUACUACACCGAGCAACACGACCUCCUUCGGGAACGCAAUGGAGAUGUUAUCGAGCUGAAAUACCCCCUCAACUGCAAAGACCCCACGUCUGAGAGGUGGUAUCAUGGACAUCUCUCAGGGAGAGAUGCUGAAAAGCUCCUGACGGAGAAAGGUAAAUCCGGCAGCUUCCUGGUGAGAGAAAGCCAAAGUAAACCAGGAGACUUUGUGCUUUCUGUCCUCACUAAUGAAGAAAAGCAUGAAAAUUUAGACCGCAAGACUAAAGUUACCCAUGUCAUGAUCCGUUAUCAGGAUGGAAAAUAUGAUGUAGGAGGAGGGGAGAGGUUUGACACUUUGGCAGAUUUAGUAGAGCAUUAUAAGAAAAACCCCAUGGUCGAGAAGAGUGGAAUUGUUGUACACCUUAAACAGCCUUUCAAUGCCACAAGGAUAAAUGCAGCAAACAUUGAAAACAGGGUACGAGAAUUAAAUAAAGUGGCGGACAACUCAGAGAAACCCAAGCAAGGCUUCUGGGAAGAAUUUGAGGUUUUACAGCAGCAAGAAUGUAAACUCCUUUACCCCAGGAAAGAGGGGCAGAGACCAGAAAAUAAAAACAAGAACAGAUAUAAGAACAUUCUACCAUUUGACACCACUCGAGUGCAAAUCAAGGAGGCGGAUGCUGACGUGCCAGGCUCCGAUUACAUCAAUGCUAACUAUAUCCGAAGCAUGAAUGAAGAAGGUCGCCAUAUGGAUGAAGGUAAAGUGUUCAUCGCCACUCAGGGUUGCCUUCAGAACACCGUCCUAGACUUCUGGAAAAUGGUGUACCAGGAAAACACUCAUGUUAUUGUGAUGACAACCAAGGAGAUGGAGAGAGGACGGAAUAAGUGUGUGCGGUACUGGCCGGACUUAAAUUCAACAAAGGAGUUUGGGAAGGUGUGUGUGAAGAACAUUGAGGAACACACAGCUCAGGACUACAUACGGCGAGAGCUUGAAGUCACGCGUCUAGACAGGAGAGAGUCUCCGAGGUGUAUCUGGCACUAUCAGUACCUGAGCUGGCCCGAUCACGGUGUUCCCAAUGAACCUGGAGGAGUCUUGAGCUUCCUGGAGCAAGUCAACAGAACCCAGAGCGCUAUUCCAGAGAGUGGACCGAUAGUUGUUCACUGCAGUGCAGGGAUUGGAAGAACAGGCACAAUUAUUGUGAUUGACAUCCUUAUCGACAUCAUAAACAGACAAGGGUUGGAUUGUGACAUCGACAUCCCAAAGACCAUCCAGAGAGUCCGCCAGCAACGAUCCGGGAUGGUUCAGACCGAGGCCCAGUACAAGUUCAUCUACAUGGCUGUUCAGCAAUACAUUGACACGGCUCAGAAGAGACUGGAAGAGGAGCAGAGGAAUAAAACAAAGGAGAGAGAGUACUCUAACAUCAAGUACCCACAGAUGUCAAAUGCCAGAGCCAAGCCGAACAUGAGCUCGUCUCGCUCUUCAUCUGUGUUAACUCUACUAUCUCCUACACUUCCUCAAUUCUAAAGAAUGAACGAUGACUCUGGUGUUUAUGAGAAUUUGAACAUCAAAAAUCCAAAGGGCUCCACCAGCAGCAAUACCAGGAGAUAAGCCGUGUGGGCUGCUUUCUCAGGGACUCUGGGAUUCCAGCAGAGGUACUGUGUAGAAGCACCUGAUUACAGCACUGGGGAGUGGGGGGGCACCAGCAGCACCUACGCUGAGACGAAGCCCCCAGCCGCUCAGCUAGAGAAUCCACCGAAAUCUCCAACAGCUCUCUUCAUUUCCUGACUGACUACGUCUGAGAAACUCACACUCCAAAACCAAGUGCCUCGACAGCAGCCGAAAUUGUUCCCGCAAAGGACGUGUGACUUGGUGCUUUCUCCCCACUUCUAGUCUAACAAGCCUCUCUACACUGCACUAAGCUACAUGAUGGUUUGUACAUGUGUGAAAUAUAUAUGAAAUAUGAAUAUUUACACUCAGUGACGUAACUUUGGAUGAAGCUGCGCUCUUUCCAUGCUGUCUAUGGCUGUUUCCAGACCUUGCUUUGUCUACUGGAUGUCGUCUACUGUAACCAAAGACCUUUGAUAUGUAUCUCACAAGCAGUGGUUAUUUGCGCUCUGCUGAGUGAUGCUCGUGGCACGGUGUUAUAAGAAGAAGAAAGUUACACCGUCCUGCCUCAAGGAUCCCCUCUUUUCUUUUCAGAGCACAUGGGAGGUGAUUGGUCAAAGUUCGACCAAUGAUUUGGAUACCUUAUGUAAGUAGGUGUUUUAAAUGGGCUGUUUUGGUACAGUGUGGUAGAAUCUAUACAGUAUGUGCCAAUUAGCAGCCUGUGCAUCAUAUUCAUAAGAGCUUCUGCUUUGAUGCUUUUUUUUAUUGAGCAUUGCCUCCAGGCAAAUGAACUGUUGGAGGAAGUCAAGUGCUACUGUCAAUCAAAGGCUUAUCAACCAAUCAGGCUGCCUCUUCAUCAGCGGGCUCCUCCCUUGUAUGGCUAUAGGCUUUAUUGUUCUGAAAGCAUCAGGUUAGCCUUUAUAAGAUAGGGUUUUGUUUGUUUGUUACUAGUCGUUUUGUUUCCAACUAUGAUUCCUUUAGUGCUAUUUUAUCGUGGGAUAUUUGUGAAUGUGUUUAUGAAAUCUAGGCCUGGCAUUUUUUUGGUAUAAUGCAUUUUUGACUAUAUUAUUCCACAUUUUUCACCUAAAAGACACAUUAAGCUCUUUUAUCACAUAUAAACAGGGUAUGUGUUUAUUGCUGUGUUAUAAAUAGCCCGAUAAAGCUCUUUACGUCAAUAGCGGGUUGUGAUUGCACCGAGGCCUUCGAAUGAAAAACGUCAAUUGAAAAACUUGGUGUUAUUGAACAUCUACAAUGGAAGGGAUACGUCAGGAUGUCGAGCGAGCUGUGGACAUGAGUGGCAUUUCGCUGGAGACUUUAGCUAAAACGGAGACAGGCCAGAUGGCCCACUGCUAAGAUUAAAGAAAUAGAUUUGUUUAGGGCGAAAAAAGUAAUUUAAAACAUGGCCGUAAUCCACACAUAGCUAUUAUUAGGUGAGGUCAGCAGUGAUGUCAUAAGACGUUAUACGUACACUACCAGGUCAGAAAGGGUUUAUUUUUUGGUUAAGAAAUUAAUACUUUUAUUCACCAGGGUUGCAUUCAUUUAUCAAAAGUGAUACUAAGAUGUUUAUUUGAAAAGUUUUCUAUUUUAAAUGCUGUUAUGCUGAAAAAUUAAGGAGCACAAACUUUUUUAACAUUAUGUGAUGAUUAAAAAAUUUCUUGAGCAGCCUGGAAUGUUUUCUGAAGCAUCAUGUGAUACUGAAGACUGAAGUAAUGGCUGCUGUGCAAUUACAUGAAGGAGGUCAUAUAUGCAGCCUACAGUAUGUCUGGUCAAAUAUUCAGCCUUGGUGAAAAAGCGUAAAAAAAUCUUACAGACCGAAAACAUAAAAGUAGUGUACAUCUUGGCUUAGAUAAAGCAGGGCAUAAUGUACAGUAUGUGAUUAAUCAGCCUCUGACUGUGAAUUUGGUGUUAGUUUCGGCCACAUGAGGGGAUCUGUGAUGUCACGAUCUGAAGGGCUACCGUACAUGUUCAGAGGGAGGCCUGGGUCUGCUUUUUUUGCACUUGAAUGGAUGAGAUGUUUGGGUUUUAUACUAGAGAACCAGUUUGCCAGACCGUCCAUGAAGUAAAAGCUAUGUCACUGCAUAUGAUAAUCAUUGUCCUUGGAAUGACUGACUGGCUGAUUGAAUGAAUUUGGGAUUUAUGUACCUGAUCAUGUGACAUUAAUGUACUACUGGCAUCUGAAAGCUGUUUGUCUGCUGUUUAAAUUGGUUUUAUUUUUACCUCUGUAAAAAUAGGUCAAAAAUCGAAUGGCAUAUUAAGACUUGAAAUUCAAUUUGAACUGCUGCAAGGUAUAGUGUCUAUGGCUGUCAGAAUGUCCUUUUGUUUGGAGGUAUAUAUAUAAUGGAUAUUUUUUGUUGAUUUGCCAUCAGUGUGGUGUUUUGCGUUAUAGAUCAGUUAUUUCUUUUUUUUUUUUUUAUUGGGUCAGUUGUUGAUUUGUUGCAAACUGUACAUUUCAUUUGUUCGUUAAUACAUUGAUGGAAAUAUUCACAGCCGUUUAGCAUUUGACGAUGUUAAAAUGUUUUAUUAUUAUUAUUACUUCUACUAUUAUACAAAAUAUCAACAGUUAUAAAGCUAUCUGCUUGCAUUAUCACAGUUUUCAAGUCUUCUUUUUAAAUUUACUUGAAUACUGUAUUGAUGGGCUUUUAUAAUCUCAGUUGGUGAUCAGUCGGUUUGAUCUGAGUUGUGUCGUGCUGAUUGUCCUUGUGUGAUAAAGACUGUGUUCCCUAUU
Carassius gibelio (silver crucian carp) is the source of this 4715-nucleotide RNA transcript. It is a transcript of the gene named protein tyrosine phosphatase non-receptor type 11b, with no coding region annotated. The transcript is spliced from 17 exons. NCBI's taxonomy places the organism in Eukaryota, Metazoa, Chordata, Actinopteri, Cypriniformes, Cyprinidae. The record is from RefSeq and is a predicted model, not a curated record.